This 247-nucleotide ribosomal RNA is filed under the name uncultured Clostridium sp. Its description in RNAcentral is "partial 16S ribosomal RNA". It matches the Rfam family "Bacterial small subunit ribosomal RNA", at positions 94 to 339 of the family's 1533-position model. The record is from RNAcentral. Lineage: Bacteria; Bacillati; Bacillota; Clostridia; Eubacteriales; Clostridiaceae.
AGCGGCGGACGGGUGAGUAACACGUGGGUAACCUGCCUCAUAGAGUGGAAUAGCCUUCCGAAAGGAAGAUUAAUACCGCAUAAUGUUGAAAGAUGGCAUCAUCAUUCAACCAAAGGAGCAAUCCGCUAUGAGAUGGACCCGCGGCGCAUUAGCUAGUUGGUGGGGUAACGGCCUACCAAGGCGACGAUGCGUAGCCGACCUGAGAGGGUGAUCGGCCACAUUGGGACUGAGACACGGCCCAGACUCC